CCUACGGGUGGCUGCAGUGGGGAAUAUUGGGCAAUGGAGGCAACUCUGACCCAGCAACGCCGCGUGAAUGAUGAAGGUCUUCGGAUUGUAAAGUUUUGUGAUGGGGGAUGAAAACAAUGACGGUACCCCAAUAGCAAGCCACGGCUAACUACGUGCCAGCAGCCGCGGUAAUACGUAGGUCGCAAGCGUUAUCCGGAUGGACUGGGCGGAAAGGGUGCGUGGGUGGGUUAGUAAGUUGGCGGUGUAAUUCCGGGGCUCAACCUCGGCGCUACCGCCAAAACUAUUAGACUAGAGUGCAGGAGAGGUAAGUGGAAUUCCUGGUGUAGCGGUGGAAUGCGUAGAUAUUAGGAGGAACAUCAGGGGCGAAGGCGACUUACUGGACUGUAACUGACACUGAGGCACGAAAGCGUGGGGAGCAAACAGGAUUAGAUACCCGGGUAGUC
This 443-nucleotide ribosomal RNA is filed under the name uncultured bacterium. Its description in RNAcentral is "partial 16S ribosomal RNA". It matches the Rfam family "Bacterial small subunit ribosomal RNA", at positions 338 to 795 of the family's 1533-position model. The record is from RNAcentral.